This 215-nucleotide long non-coding RNA is filed under the name Elaeis guineensis (African oil palm). RNAcentral describes it as "long non-coding RNA (EGUI_LNC063251)". The record is from RNAcentral. Lineage: Eukaryota; Viridiplantae; Streptophyta; Magnoliopsida; Arecales; Arecaceae.
AUAACCAGGCCUUCGAUUUUGCUUAUGUUAGGAUGAGGUUCUUCUCCUGUUCCUAACAUGGUUGUGGGGGCACAUAAGGGCUGUUGUAAGGGCCUCUCCCCCCAUCCGAUCUUAACAUAAUCGAGCCUUCGACUUUGCUCAUAUUAGGAUGAGGUUCUCCUCCUGUUCCUAACAUGGCUGUGGGGUUACAUAAGGGCCGUUGUAAGGGCCUCUCC